Molecule: ribosomal RNA, 692 nt
Filed under: Staphylococcus shinii
Lineage: Bacteria; Bacillati; Bacillota; Bacilli; Caryophanales; Staphylococcaceae
Description: bacterial SSU rRNA
Rfam family: Bacterial small subunit ribosomal RNA
Source: RNAcentral
AUUUAUGGAGAGUUUGAUCCUGGCUCAGGAUGAACGCUGGCGGCGUGCCUAAUACAUGCAAGUCGAGCGAACAGAUAAGGAGCUUGCUCCUUUGACGUUAGCGGCGGACGGGUGAGUAACACGUGGGUAACCUACCUAUAAGACUGGGAUAACUUCGGGAAACCGGAGCUAAUACCGGAUAACAUUUGGAACCGCAUGGUUCUAAAGUGAAAGAUGGUUUUGCUAUCACUUAUAGAUGGACCCGCGCCGUAUUAGCUAGUUGGUAAGGUAACGGCUUACCAAGGCGACGAUACGUAGCCGACCUGAGAGGGUGAUCGGCCACACUGGAACUGAGACACGGUCCAGACUCCUACGGGAGGCAGCAGUAGGGAAUCUUCCGCAAUGGGCGAAAGCCUGACGGAGCAACGCCGCGUGAGUGAUGAAGGGUUUCGGCUCGUAAAACUCUGUUAUUAGGGAAGAACAAAUGUGUAAGUAACUGUGCACAUCUUGACGGUACCUAAUCAGAAAGCCACGGCUAACUACGUGCCAGCAGCCGCGGUAAUACGUAGGUGGCAAGCGUUAUCCGGAAUUAUUGGGCGUAAAGCGCGCGUAGGCGGUUUCUUAAGUCUGAUGUGAAAGCCCACGGCUCAACCGUGGAGGGUCAUUGGAAACUGGGAAACUUGAGUGCAGAAGAGGAAAGUGGAAUUCCAUGU